AGCGAACGCUGGCGGCAGGCUUAACACAUGCAAGUCGAACGCCCCGCAAGGGGAGUGGCAGACGGGUGAGUAACACGUGGGAACGUACCCUUUGGUUCGGAAUAACUUGGGGAAACUCAAGCUAAUACCGGAUACGCCCUUAUGGGGAAAGGUUUACUGCCGAAGGAUCGGCCCGCGUCUGAUUAGCUAGUUGGUGAGGUAAUGGCUCACCAAGGCGACGAUCAGUAGCUGGUCUGAGAGGAUGAUCAGCCGCACUGGGACUGAGACACGGCCCAGACUCCUACGGGAGGCAGCAGUGGGGAAUAUUGGACAAUGGGGGCAACCCUGAUCCAGCCAUGCCGCGUGAGUGAUGAAGGCCUUAGGGUUGUAAAGCUCUUUUACCCGGGACGAUAACGACUGUACCGGGAGAAUAAGCCCCGGCUAACUUCGUGCCAGCCGCCGCCGUAA
RNAcentral lists this ribosomal RNA (447 nucleotides) under uncultured bacterium. RNAcentral describes it as "partial 16S ribosomal RNA". It matches the Rfam family "Bacterial small subunit ribosomal RNA", at positions 29 to 523 of the family's 1533-position model. The record is from RNAcentral.